ACUCCGGGAAACCGGGGCUAAUACCGAAUAAUCUCUUUUGCUUCAUGGAAAAAGACUGAAAGACGGUUUCGGCUGUCGCUAUAGGAUGGGCCCGCGGCGCAUUAGCUAGUUGGUGAGGUAACGGCUCACCAAGGCGACGAUGCGUAGCCGACCUGAGAGGGUGAUCGGCCACACUGGGACUGAGACACGGCCCAGACUCCUACGGGAGGCAGCAGUAGGGAAUCUUCCACAAUGGGCGAAAGCCUGAUGGAGCAACGCCGCGUGAGUGAAGAAGGUUUUCGGAUCGUAAAACUCUGUUGUAAGGGAAGAACAAGUACAGUAGUAACUGGCUGUACCUUGACGGUACCUUAUUAGAAAGCCACGGCUAACUACGUGCCAGCAGCCGCGGUAAUACGUAGGUGGCAAGCGUUGUCCGGAAUUAUUGGGCGUAAAGCGCGCGCAGGCGGUCCUUUAAGUCUGAUGUGAAAGCCCACGGCUCAACCGUGGAGGGUCAUUGGAAACUGGGGGACUUGAGUGCAGAAGAGGAAAGUGGAAUUCCAAGUGUAGCGGUGAAAUGCGUAGAGAUUUGGAGGAACACCAGUGGCGAAGGCGACUUUCUGGUCUGUAACUGACGCUGAGGCGCGAAAGCGUGGGGAGCAAACAGGAUUAUAUACCCUGGUAUUCCACGCCGUAACGAUGAGUGCUAAGUUUUUAGGGGGUUUCAGCCCCUUAUGCUGCA
RNAcentral lists this ribosomal RNA (718 nucleotides) under Lysinibacillus macroides. RNAcentral describes it as "bacterial SSU rRNA". It matches the Rfam family "Bacterial small subunit ribosomal RNA", at positions 146 to 850 of the family's 1533-position model. The record is from RNAcentral. Lineage: Bacteria; Bacillati; Bacillota; Bacilli; Caryophanales; Bacillaceae.